CCCAGAAAUUCUAUUUUCUGCGUUGGGGUCACCAUGGACUUUUCCCAGUUUAUGAGAAAAACCUAAGCUCUCCAGAAGAUCCACCGUCCAGCUCAGGUGCUGUAGAAGUUGGUCGGGGGACGCGGACAUAAUCAGUAUGUCGUCCAGGUAGAUAAUCAUGCGGACGCCCCGCGACCUGAGGAACGCCACCACCGGUUUCAUCACCUUCGU
Non-coding RNA from Pelobates cultripes (western spadefoot toad), 210 nucleotides. The record is from the annotation of a GenBank genome assembly. Lineage: Eukaryota; Metazoa; Chordata; Amphibia; Anura; Pelobatidae.